GAGUAGGGGUGGUGACACCUACAAGACCAAAUGUUUUACAUAUUCCCUUUAUAUCAGUUCUACAGGAACUGCUUCACAUAAACUGAGAGGAAUCUAGCAUAAAGAGAACAAGACAUGUCCCCAUAUAAACUAGAGUGCCACAAUGGAAAUAAGCGGACCACAAUGGAAAUACUAUAUCAGCCGACGUGUCAAUCCCCAGAAAUCCAACAUUUGGUCCCUGACACCAUCAACCCGGAGCCUAGCUGGUCCCUGACACCAUCAACCCAGAGCCUAGCUGGUCCUUGACACUGACAGACUUGAUGACUUGAAGUGUGGAAUAGUAUAUGAAAUCGGGUGUGUGAGCUGUAACAGAGUCUAUGUUGGAGAGACAAGAAGAAAACUAGAAACAAGGCUAGAGGAACACAAGAAAGAUGUAAAGGAAAAUGUAAGUGAGGGAGUCAACACCAGAUCCAAUCGCUCUAUGUCGACAGGAGUGUUACACAAAUCCACCAUCACAGAUCAUAUGUCAGAUAACAACCAUGUGCCAAAAUGGGACAAUGUAAAAGUGCUAACCAGUGAAAAUUAUUACAGUUAACGCAAAGUUUUAGAAUCCAUCUGGAUAAGAAGAAAGAAACACACCAUGAACAGAGAUGAAGGAGCACACAAGCUGUCCCAUGUGUAUGACGACAUUCUCAAACCCACCCUGGGGGGAAGGGGGACGAGAGGGACUAACAAGUCAUUAUCAAGACUGAGAUAAUUACCUGUCCACCUUCACCUGAACAGGUAAUUCAAUUGUGACCAAGUCUGUCAGAGAGAACAGACGAAACAGUCAACAGAGCAUUCAUCAAGAUCAGCGGAAUCAGCCAAAAUAAGUCCUAAUCAGUACAUGCAAAGCAGCUGCGAAGUCGUUCUACAGCGUCUACACGCUAUUGAUGAAUUACUCAGCUCUUCAUGCUACAACUGCUGUUUAUAAGCUGGGAUGAGAUGGAUGUGUUGUGGUCUGACUUAUCAAGAUACAACUGGGCGUUUCAGUGAUUUAUAAGCGUCUUUGAUUGUUGUAUAACAAUGGUCUUAUAUGGCAUCUUUCCUGGCAUGAUCUAUGUGAGUGUCCAGUAUUAGAGUUAAUAUUUUUGUCUUUGAAUAACACAACUGGAUGAAUCAUGAUUUAAAUUCUGACAUGCAGAGUUUUCAGUUUUGGCUAAUGGCUGUGUCUCCUGUACCUUGACCCUUAACUCUCGAAGAUGAAAGGAGAACCCAAAUGCAGCUCCUCACUAUAAUAUGAAAGCAUUGUAGGUCUGUGUAGUUUCUGAAA
Lingula anatina is the source of this 1291-nucleotide long non-coding RNA. NCBI's taxonomy places the organism in Eukaryota, Metazoa, Brachiopoda, Lingulata, Lingulida, Lingulidae. The record is from RefSeq and is a predicted model, not a curated record.